GACGAACGCUGGCGGCGUGCUUAACACAUGCAAGUCGAACGGAAAGGCCCCUUUGGGGGUACUCGAGUGGCGAACGGGUGAGUAACCUGCCCUUGACUUCGGGAUAACUUCAGGAAACUGGGGCUAAUACCGGAUAGGAAUCCUUGCUGCAUGGUGGGGGUUGGAAAGCUUCGGCGGUUUUGGAUGGACUCGCGGCUUAUCAGCUUGUUGGUGGGGUAGUGGCUUACCAAGGCUUUGACGGGUAGCCGGCCUGAGAGGGCGACCGGCCACAUUGGGACUGAGAUACGGCCCAGACUCCUACGGGAGGCAGCAGUGGGGAAUAUUGCACAAUGGGCGGAAGCCUGAUGCAGCAACGCCGCGUGCGGGAUGACGGCCUUCGGGUUGUAAACCGCUUUCAGCAGGGGCGAAGCUUGUGGUGACGGUACCUGCAGAAGAAGCACCGGCUAACUACGUG
RNAcentral lists this ribosomal RNA (454 nucleotides) under uncultured bacterium. Its description in RNAcentral is "partial 16S ribosomal RNA". It matches the Rfam family "Bacterial small subunit ribosomal RNA", at positions 28 to 507 of the family's 1533-position model. The record is from RNAcentral.